GAAUCCAUGGUAUAGUGGUUUGACUGUUGGACUACAAUUCUGGAGACCAGGGUUCAAAUCUCUGCUUGGUCA
Molecule: transfer RNA, 72 nt
Filed under: Phrynosoma platyrhinos (Desert horned lizard)
Lineage: Eukaryota; Metazoa; Chordata; Lepidosauria; Squamata; Phrynosomatidae
Description: tRNA-OTHER
Source: RNAcentral